RNAcentral lists this ribosomal RNA (173 nucleotides) under uncultured eukaryote. RNAcentral describes it as "partial small subunit ribosomal RNA". It matches the Rfam family "Eukaryotic small subunit ribosomal RNA", at positions 1662 to 1828 of the family's 1831-position model. The record is from RNAcentral.
GUACACACCGCCCGUCGCCACUACCGAUUGAAUGGCUUAGUGAGGCCUUUGGAUUGCGGGACGCAGUGGGAGAGAUCCUGCUGCGUGGACUGUGAGAAAUUGGACAAACUUGGUCAUUUAGAGGAAAUAAAAGUCGUAACAAGGUUUCCGUAGGUGAACCUGCAGAAGGAUCA